Long non-coding RNA from Mobula hypostoma (lesser devil ray), 3249 nucleotides. RefSeq lists it as uncharacterized. The record is from RefSeq and is a predicted model, not a curated record. The transcript is spliced from 4 exons. Lineage: Eukaryota; Metazoa; Chordata; Chondrichthyes; Myliobatiformes; Myliobatidae.
CAUGACAGCACUGGCCACCACAGACUCGUAGAACAUCCUCAGCAUCGUCCGGCAGAUGUUAAAGGACCUCAGUCUCCUCAGGAAAUAGAGACGGCUCUGACCCUUCUUGUAGACAGCCUCAGUGUUCUUUGACCAGUCCAGUUUAUUGUCAAUUCGUAUCCCCGGGUAUUUGUAAUCUUCCACCAUGUCCACACUGACCCCCUGGAUGGAAACAGGGGUCACCAGUACCUUAGCUCUCCUCAGGUCUACCACCAGCUCCUUAGUCUUUUUCACAUUAAGCUGCAGAUAAUUCUGCUCACACCAUGUGACAACCCCAUUCCGUAAAAGCCCAGUGCAACAGAAACAUCAACUAAAUCUCCAACAGUGGCGGCCCUAAGGUGGUGCUAGCUGGGGCUAUAGCCCCAGCAGAAAUUGCAAUAGCACCAGCGUAGCACCACCAAGAAAUUAACUGAAAUUUCACAUGCAAAUUGAACUGCUUUGUUUUCUCUAUAUAGUUUUGAAUACAGCUUGUUUCUCCAGUUGAUCUAGUGAAACAGAGCCCCCAAUUACCAUAGCACCCACGCAGCAAUAAAGUUAUAAACUCUGUCAGAUCCAUUCUAUACUUUGUUCAUUGUCAGCGUCUCAUCGUUGCUGUCCUCAGAUCAGUUAAGCUGAUCUAAGAUCACGUAAGGUGGUGAUGUCACUCACUUUCACUCACGCGAGAGAUUGAUAGUAUACAUCCAGUCGCAGAUCCAUGGUCUUGUGAGACUAACGGAUCACACACACACACACACACACACACACACACGGUGCUUUUACAAGCUAGCGUGGGCCUACCACGUGCAUUAUUUUGGCGGCGUGAAAAAUGGAUCGAUUUUUAGUGAGAAAACGACCUCACUUAGAGGAAUCAGUGGUGUCUCAGCCGGAGCCUGUCUUAAUUGAAAGUGACAUGCAGAAAGAAGUAAGUGGGGAUGAGGACGACAGCAGUUCAUCGAAGGAGUGUGAGGGCAAGGUAGAGGAACAAGAAAUGGAGCGGGAUUCGGAAGACGGGGUAGAGGGAGACGGCGUAGGAAGGCUUUGUCUCAAGAGGCUUCGGCGAGCAGAGGCUGAGGACGAGCUUCACUCCGAAUGAGACAUUUCCUGUGUGGAGGACAUGGGUUCCAUUCUGAGUCUACCUUCACUGUCACCGGUUACCAUAACUGGCGGAAAGCUACAACAGCUUUCAAAACCCACCAUGUAAGUGCAGCUGAGAAGUUUGCUAUGGAGGCAUGGGCCGAAUUCAGAUUGAGAAAACAAGACUGUUCAAGAUUGGGAAAAAUGCUUGACAGAGGACAUGCAAAGAUUGUCCAAGAAAAUCGUGAGUAUAUGAGAGCAGUGGUCGAGUCUCUAGCAAGGACAGACAGUGAAUGACACAGUGGAAUUUCUAGCUCCAAUGAGACCCUACCGCGAUGCAUUCAUAGAUUUAUACAAACUAAUCUACAUAUCACUGACUCUACCUGUGACAUCGGCCUCUUGCAAAUGGAGUUUCUCUUGCCUCAGACGCAUCAAAAACUACCUAAGGAAUAGCAGCAGCGAUGCUCGGAACAGCAACUUGGCCCUGUUGGCCAUAAACAGCCGGAGGAGCAAAGCACUUGACACCCAGAAAAUCAGUGAUGCUUUCACCACCAAUCACAACAACAGACGGAUUGUGCUUCUCUGAAAACAUCAAUGAUGCUGCUUGGCCUGCUGAGCUCCUCCAGCAUGUUGGAACAUCUGCAGAUUCUCUUUCGCAGUACCUCGAGCAGGAUAAGCAAACACUGCAGGCCGGUAUCCUAGCGACAGUAAGGGAUUGCAGCCAAAGCAGACAACCAGCAAACAGGAACAGUCACUCAGCGUUCAGACCCACAUCACAUCCCAGUUUGCUGAACUAUCACUGAGAAAGAGCAGAGUUUAUUCAGGGAUCUCAGGAAGGAAGAGGAGAGGAUUCUGAAUCAAAUGGAGAAAAAUCGUCUGGAGAUUCAAGAGAUUAGGUUUAUUCAGGAGGAAAUCUCAAAUUUGAAGGAACAGAUGGAUCAAAAAGACAGUGUGAUAUUUCUCAAGGUGAGGGAUUAUUUCAAUUUGUUUCUGUCAAAGAGCGCUAAAUAAACGGUGGUAUAUUCGAAGUAAACAGUGGCCAUUUCUAACAAAUCAAUUGCCGACCUCGCACAGAUUGUUAUUGUUACAGUCAGUUUUGGGGUAGCUGAUCCAUUUACACUUAAAUGACUCUGGCCACCAGACUUCUAUUUGACAAAGUACUGUGGAUUCAGUUCACAACAAUGCGCUUCCUAAAAAGGUGUGAAUACCAGAUGCAUCCGGCGCCCUAGUUUGACCUGAUGCUGUAGUUUCGAGGACAGUAUUAUCUAUACUUUAUAAAUAUUAAUUGUCUUCUAUGUUCGUAAAAUGCCAAAUAAAUGUACUGUGGAUUUAACUUGCAUUCCUAAAGGCUGUGGAUACCAACCCAGACAUGUUGGCGUUGGAAGGGAAGGAUAAAGUCAGAAGUUGUGAUGUUUGUAGGUAGCUUCAAUAGGAAGCAUUGUCUAUGCAUUGUCUAUAACUUUUAAGUAACAAUUGCCUUUCUGUUUAGCAUAUAAAUAUUGAGCCCACACUGGGCUAGCAGACCUUUCUACCAAAAGUGUCUCCGUCCGUAUGAUGCCUGCUGUACCUUGUUGUGUCGAAUACAGAAGCUGCUUUGUAUCUACCAGUAACUCUGUCUCUCCAGUGACUUCAUCCACGCCACAACAGUUAUACUUCUAUGACACGCCCCCCAAUCAUUCCAAUAAUGACCUUCCAAAAUGUCGAAGAUAUAUAUUUGAUCCUUCAUCAGCAACAGAUAAUCUUAAAACGAUAAAAUUUCAUGGUAAUUAAUCAUAAAGUAAGCAGCAAAUGAGUGGGCAACGAAAGAUACGACAGCUGUCCAUCCCCAGCUCAAAACUGCCCAGUACAAAUACGUAACUAAUUCCCUUCCCUUUUACCACACCCCACUCACGUGACUAGUUACCAUCAUAAGCAUGCAACACAGAAUACAAUGUAUACAGAUGUGUUGCUCCUACACACAGCAUUUACAAGUGGCAGUAAACUGUUUUUCUCCAGAGAACUGAUACAACUACUCAGGGCUGUUGUUGUCCCAAAACUGGAUUUCCACAGCUUCUGUACAUCCCAGGACAGAAUACAAUCUUCUCUGAAAUUAUUGACUCUGAUCACAGCACAGAGGUGCUGAAUGUGUCCUUAAUUACUACUUUAAAUAUCCUCUAA